AAUAUUAACUGUCUCAUAUUAAUAUAUUUAUAAUUUAAUUUUUUAGUUAAAAAGCUUAAAUAUUUUUAUAGGACGAGAAGACCCUAUAGAUCUUUAUUAUUAUUAUUAUUUAUAUUUUUUUUGUUUAUGUUUUAAUAUUUUUAUAUAUUGUUUUGUUGGGGUGAUUUUGGGAUACAAUUAACUCUCUUUUUUUUUUUCAUUUAUUUUUGUUUUUUUGAUCUUUUAUUAUUGCUUAUAAAAUUAAAAUACCUUAGGGAUAACAGCGUAAUUUCCUUUAAAAGUUCAUAUUGACNAUGGAGUUUGCGACCUCGAUGUUGAAUUAAAAUUAUUGUUAGGUGAANAGGCUUAAAUAUUA
RNAcentral lists this ribosomal RNA (355 nucleotides) under Cryptophyllium rarum. RNAcentral's name for it is "partial large subunit ribosomal RNA". Lineage: Eukaryota; Metazoa; Arthropoda; Insecta; Phasmatodea; Phylliidae. The record is from RNAcentral.